AAUGAACGCUAGCGGCAUGCCUAACACAUGCAAGUCGAACGAGACCUUCGGGUCUAGUGGCGCACGGGUGCGUAACGCGUGGGAAUCUGCCCUUGGGUUCGGAAUAACUCGCCGAAAGGCGUGCUAAUACCGGAUGAUGACGUAAGUCCAAAGAUUUAUCGCCCAAGGAUGAGCCCGCGUGGAUUAGCUAGUUGGUGGGGUAAAGGCCCACCAAGGCGACGAUCCUUAGCUGGUCUGAGAGGAUGAUCAGCCACACUGGGACUGAGACACGGCCCAGACUCCUACGGGAGGCAGCAGUGGGGAAUAUUGGACAAUGGGCGAAAGCCUGAUCCAGCAAUGCCGCGUGAGUGAUGAAGGCCUUAGGGUUGUAAAGCUCCUUUACCCGGGAUGAUAAUGACAGUACCGGGAGAAUAAGCCCCGGCUAACUCCGUGCCAGCCGCCGCAGUAA
RNAcentral lists this ribosomal RNA (448 nucleotides) under uncultured bacterium. RNAcentral's name for it is "partial 16S ribosomal RNA". It matches the Rfam family "Bacterial small subunit ribosomal RNA", at positions 29 to 523 of the family's 1533-position model. The record is from RNAcentral.